AGAGGGUGCAAGCGUUAAUCGGAAUUACUGGGCGUAAAGGGCGCGUAGGUGGCGUGCUAAGUUGGAUGUGAAAGUCCCGGGCUUAACCUGGGAAUGCCAUCCAAAACUGGCAUGCUAGAGAGCAGUAGAGGCAAGUGGAAUUUCCGGUGUAGCGGUGAAAUGCGUAGAUAUCGGAAGGAACAUCAGUGGCGAAGGCGACUUGCUGGACUGUUUCUGACACUGAGGCGCGAAAGCGUGGGGGUAGCGAACAGGAUUAGAUACCCUGGUAGUCCACGCCCGUAAACCGAUGAAUACUAGCUGUUGGGUCCCUACGGGACUUAGUGGCGCAGCUAACGCGAUAAGUAUUCCCGCCUGGGAGUACGGCCGCAAGGCUA
Molecule: ribosomal RNA, 374 nt
Filed under: uncultured organism
Description: partial 16S ribosomal RNA
Rfam family: Bacterial small subunit ribosomal RNA
Source: RNAcentral